Molecule: long non-coding RNA, 816 nt
Organism: Mobula hypostoma (lesser devil ray)
Lineage: Eukaryota; Metazoa; Chordata; Chondrichthyes; Myliobatiformes; Myliobatidae
Exons: 3
Source: RefSeq, a predicted model, not a curated record
UGUCCGCCGCCUCACCUUUAUCCAGGACCUCACCUGUUCGCUCUCCAGUACACCUGUCCACCGUCUGCACCUGUAUCCUUACUUCACCUGUCUAAUCUCCAGGUAAAGCAGGGGUUUAUCGUCUGUCCCUGUAUCCCUCCUCUCAACUGCCCUUCACACCUGGCUUCUUUCAGCGCCUGUACCUCUCCCUUCACCUGACAACUCUCCUUAUCUGCGCAACCCUAAGACUGAAGCUAUAAGAGACUGCAGAUUCUGAAAUCUGGAGCUAAAACCAAACUGAUGAAGGUACUCGACCGAAAACAUCACUACAUAUAAGUUGCUGAAUGUCCACUUCCUAACUAAGCAGCACUCAUCUUCCAUUUCCAUGGUCUGAUGGACAGGUCACCCAGAGCUCUUCAAGGGUUCGAAGCAGAUGAGGACGCCUUCCCUCCUCAGGCGAUAAAAAGUUAAUUUUCCAGCUUUCUCAGUUCCUGGGCUGCACUGCUUGCUUGAGAAGAUGAGACAGCUGACCUAAUUCUGAUCUUCUGCCAACACGUUUGUCAUUUUACCUAAGCCUGUUGAACACCCGGGAGUAACCUGUCCACUUACUGAGUCUGACGCUGGAUGCCUUGUCUUGUCAUAUCUGCUGCCGGGACAUAGAAAGCAAGGGCUUGAUGUUCCACUUUUCGGGCACUAUACAGAGGACCUGUGCACAAUGUUUGAUGUUCCACAGCAGGAUGGCUGAACAAAUGUGGCUCCCAGCAUUGAAGAUUCUUGGCAUAUCAACGAUAAUGGAAACAACCUUCAACUUGAAGUCAUCCAGACUAUGCAUUGUAU